AUGCCAAGGUUUCUUACCACAAAUAGAACUUCUGGAAAGGCCUACUGGUUUCCUCCGGGCUUUCAGACACCUCUUCACAUUUCGCUUGGCUUCCCUUCUGCAGCCCCAAAAGGGAAUAUCUGGAGUCUGUGUUCCGCUGUGAUCGCAGCCCCCCCCACCCCCAGGCUCUGCAGGGCAUCCUCCAGCGCAGUGGGAACCAGGCGCCGCGGCAGCUCCCUCUGGAUGCUGGCGGGCCCGGCCAGACGCCGAGCCCCGAAGCCCCGGGGGUACCCCGAGCACCGGCAUGAACUGAGGCGGGACCAGAUGAUGGGGAGGAGAGCGUGGCCCGAAAAGGAGAAACACGAACUGGCCUUCAGGUCGGGAGAGAAUGGUGCAGCCUCAGCAGUAACCCAGGGUCGCGGCAUUUCCCUCUCACCAGUGACAUGGGGCUGCAAAACGGUCUAAAUGGGAACCUCACAGACAGGAACGCUGCCUGUCUGUGCUGUUGCCCUUUUCAGCAAUAAC
This 504-nucleotide long non-coding RNA is filed under the name Capra hircus (goat). RNAcentral's name for it is "lncRNA (ENSCHIG00000005131.1)". Lineage: Eukaryota; Metazoa; Chordata; Mammalia; Artiodactyla; Bovidae. The record is from RNAcentral.